This 77-nucleotide transfer RNA is filed under the name Caudoviricetes sp. RNAcentral's name for it is "tRNA-Pro". It matches the Rfam family "tRNA". Rfam says of the family: Transfer RNA (tRNA) molecules are approximately 80 nucleotides in length. Their secondary structure includes four short double-helical elements and three loops (D, anti-codon, and T loops). Further hydrogen bonds mediate the characteristic L-shaped molecular structure. tRNAs have two regions of fundamental functional importance: the anti-codon, which is responsible for specific mRNA codon recognition, and the 3' end, to which the tRNAs corresponding amino acid is attached (by aminoacyl-tRNA synthetases). tRNAs cope with the degeneracy of the genetic code in two manners: having more than one tRNA (with a specific anti-codon) for a particular amino acid; and 'wobble' base-pairing, i.e. permitting non-standard base-pairing at the 3rd anti-codon position. Lineage: Duplodnaviria; Heunggongvirae; Uroviricota; Caudoviricetes. The record is from RNAcentral.
CUAGUAUUAGCCUAAUUUGGUAAGGCACUACAUUUGGGAUGUAGAGAGUGUAGGUUCAAAUCCUUCAUACUAGACCA